UACGUAGGUGACCAGCGUUGUCCGGAUUUACUGGGCGUAAAGAGCGCGCAGGCGGUCGUUCAAGUCGAGUGUGAAAGCCCCCGGCUCAACUGGGGAGGGUCAUUCGAUACUGAUCGACUUGAAGGCAGGAGAGGGAAGUGGAAUUCCCGGUGUAGUGGUGAAAUGCGUAGAUAUCGGGAGGAACACCAGUGGCGAAGGCGGCUACCUGGACCGGUUCUGACGCUGAGGCGCGAAAGCGCGGGUAGCAAACAGG
This 253-nucleotide ribosomal RNA is filed under the name uncultured bacterium. RNAcentral describes it as "partial 16S ribosomal RNA". It matches the Rfam family "Bacterial small subunit ribosomal RNA", at positions 524 to 776 of the family's 1533-position model. The record is from RNAcentral.